Molecule: ribosomal RNA, 452 nt
Filed under: uncultured bacterium
Lineage: Bacteria
Description: bacterial SSU rRNA
Rfam family: Bacterial small subunit ribosomal RNA
Source: RNAcentral
AUUGAACGCUGGCGGCAUGCUUUACACAUGCAAGUCGAACGGCAGCAUGACCUAGCUUGCUAGGUUGAUGGCGAGUGGCGAACGGGUGAGUAAUGCAUCGGAACGUAUCCAAUAAUGGGGGAUAACGCAUCGAAAGGUGUGCUAAUACCGCAUACGCCCUGAGGGGGAAAGUGGGGGAUCUUCGGACCUCACGUUAAUGGAGCGGCCGAUGUCAGAUUAGCUAGUUGGUGAGGUAAAGGCUCACCAAGGCGACGAUCUGUAGCUGGUCUGAGAGGAUGAUCAGCCACACUGGAACUGAGACACGGUCCAGACUCCUACGGGAGGCAGCAGUGGGGAAUUUUGGACAAUGGGCGCAAGCCUGAUCCAGCCAUGCCGCGUGAGUGAAGAAGGCCUUCGGGUUGUAAAGCUCUUUCGCAAGGGAAGAAAACUUAGUUCUUAAUACGAGCUGAGGA